UACGUAGGGUGCGAGCGUUGUCCGGAAUUAUUGGGCGUAAAGAGCUUGUAGGCGGUUUGUCGCGUCUGCUGUGAAAUUUCGGGGCUCAACCCCGAACUUGCAGUGGGUACGGGCAGACUAGAGUGUGGUAGGGGAGACUGGAAUUCCUGGUGUAGCGGUGAAAUGCGCAGAUAUCAGGAGGAACACCGAUGGCGAAGGCAGGUCUCUGGGCCACUACUGACGCUGAGACGCGAAAGCGUGGGGAGCGAACAGG
This 253-nucleotide ribosomal RNA is filed under the name uncultured bacterium. Its description in RNAcentral is "partial 16S ribosomal RNA". It matches the Rfam family "Bacterial small subunit ribosomal RNA", at positions 524 to 776 of the family's 1533-position model. The record is from RNAcentral.